UACGUAGGGAGCAAGCGUUGUCCGGAAUCAUUGGGCGUAAAGCGCGCGUAGGUGGCCUCAUAAGUCCGCUGUGAAAGUCAAAGGCUCAACCUUUGAAAGCCGGUGGAUACUGUGAGGCUAGAGUACGGAAGAGGCGAGUGGAAUUCCUGGUGUAGCGGUGGAAUGCGCAGAUAUCAGGAGGAACACCAAUAGCGAAGGCAGCUCGCUGGGACGUUACUGACACUGAGACGCGAAAGCGUGGGGAGCAAACAGG
Molecule: ribosomal RNA, 253 nt
Filed under: uncultured bacterium
Lineage: Bacteria
Description: partial 16S ribosomal RNA
Rfam family: Bacterial small subunit ribosomal RNA
Source: RNAcentral